Chrysemys picta bellii (western painted turtle) is the source of this 3399-nucleotide non-coding RNA. The record is from RefSeq and is a predicted model, not a curated record. NCBI's taxonomy places the organism in Eukaryota, Metazoa, Chordata, Testudines, Emydidae.
CCUCCCCGCCCUCCUCCUCAGCCCCCCAAGACAUCGGCAGAAAGGAAGGAACAACACACAAACAAAACAGGCUGGGGCCCUGAACUUCAGCGGGGGGCUGGGAGCUACUGCCAGAGGCGGCUGGGAGGAGAGGGGCCGCCCCUUUCCCAAUGGGGACGGCAAGUCGGAGGGCCAGGUAAAGCCAAGUGAAACUGACAAGGCGUGCGGUGCCCAUGUGCAGCGGGACAGAGCCGGGAGCAACAGCGCGGUCAUUAGGCAGCAGACUCCAGCGCAGCCCCCCCGUCCAGCAGCCACUGCCGUCUGCCCACCGGGCACUACCCAUCACCUCGUCCCGUCACCUCCCAUUCACAGCACGGCGUGUCCGGUGCUCACACCCAGCAUGGCUCAGUGCCCAGCGUGUCCGUGAGCCACCAUCCGCACGCCGGGUCUCCCUCCCCUCCCUACCCCGCGCCCUUGGCUCCAGGCUCUCCACAACCUGGCUCCUCUCCCAACCGGGCUUAUUGUCCACUAUGGCCACUCUCCAGCCUCCGUGCUCGCUGCCUACCAUCCACCAUGCACCGUCCAGUGCUUCCACCAUCACUGCCCCCAUCCUUCACUGAGCAAUGUUCCCAGAAUCCCCACUAUUCACUGCCCACCAUCCACCAUGCACCCUCCAGUGCCUUCACCAUCACUGCACCCAACCUUCACUGUGCAAUGUGCACAUAUCCCCACUAUUCACUGCCCACCACCCACCCUCCAGUGCAUUCACCAUCAAUGAUCCCAUCCUUUACUGUGCAAUGUGCCCACCAUCCGCUGCCCACCAUCCAGUGUAUCCACCAUCACUGCCCCCAUCCUUCACUGUGUAAUGUGCUGCUCACCAUUCUCCAUUACUCACUGCCCACCAUUGGCCAAGCCCAUCGCAGUAUGUUCGGUCUCUAGCCCCGUCAUGCACCACUCAGUGGGUCUCCCCUCCCUCACCCCUCCCUGUCCAGUUGUGUUCAGUAUCCGCAGCCCAACAUCGCCGGUGUCCGCUAUGAUCCGUCCAUUCACCCCAGUCCCACAGCCUCCGCUUUUCACUCCCACUCUUCUCCUCCCUCCCGCUCUCCGCCCGGGCGAGCCUGCCAGCCAGGCAGUGUGUCGCCACAAGGGCAGGUAGUACACGCGGGGCAUCAGGCUCCCGGAGCCGCACGAGAGGCUCCCCGGGGCGGGGGAUGACACUUGGGGACUCGUGUCCAGCUCCCGGCUCUGCUCGGAGACGCUCGGUGGCAGGGUGACCCCGCGCGCCCGGGGCUGGGGGAAGCUGCUCGCGGGCACCUCCCCGGCGGGGGCACGGGACGCCAGGCAGCCCGGCGCCUCCCGCGGAGCUCGCCGGCCCCUUGUUACCCCGCCGCCCCAAGCAGGCGGGAAGGGAGCCGCCGGCGGCGUCUCGCGCAGGGGGCAAGAAAAGACCCUUGGAGGAGCCAGGACCCACCCAGUGCCCCCGAAGGAGCGCAGCGCACGGAUCUGGGAGAGCCCCGCCGAGCCCCGCCUGGCCGGGCUGGGGGGCGCAGCGCGAGAGUCCCUUUCCGCCGGUCAGCCGCAGCUCAUAGAGACACCCACAUAUACACUUCCACCUACGUGAGAGCUGCGUUCAAAUGACUGAUAUGUGAAACCAUUCUGUCCAUGGCUCGUGUAUAUUUAUCUGAAAAUGUUUAAUCUUUAAUCAUCUAAAUAUACUGGCAUCAAAUGAAACAUUCAGAAGCCUAUAAUCCGUAAUUCACUUUUCACAUUUUAGUUAGAAUAGUUCCUGAUCCUGCAAAUGCUUACAUAUGUGCUUCACCUUACAUCUUCAAAUCAAUAAUGUGAUUUUUAUAGUAGGAAUGGACUAGAGCAAGAAAGUUUGGAUCUGAAUCUAGUCCACGCCAACAUUCAUGAGGUGUCUAGAUCUGGGUUUUUGGUUCAGGCCCAUCACUGCUUUGAUAUUUGAUUUAGUGUCUAAUAAUACUUUGUUGAAGAUUGCCAGCAUUUCCAUUAUAAACCCACUUCUUGAGAAGUUUAUAAUUCAGCCAUAAAAAUAUUUGCCCUGGGCUAAAUCAUGUAAUAUAAAACAUAAAUGUCCAAAUAAAAACAUGGUUUUGCCAUUUGAACAACAGUGGUACAGAACAGCUUUGAAGUUUACCCCUUUUAUGCAGUUAUAUAACUCAGAAAUAAAUGUAAUAAAAAUGAAGUUUGGCAAGUGAUUAAUCAUGACUGUAGACAUAUUUAUAUGCUGUUAUUUUGAAAACAACAAAACAACAACAAACCAUCCAAGAUGUUUGCUCAUGACAAUGGAAGUUGUGCACUGUUACUUUAUAUUAAAGUAAUUCUAUUAGUUUUUAUUAAGUGCUAGAAACAAAUUUACACAAUAAACAGCUAUCUAGUAGUGUCUUCAUAUCUACUUUAGUCCUAGUCCAUUCUUUGUAACCUUCUCCUCUCUGGUCUUCCUGUCUCUCAUUUAGUCUCCCAUAAAGUUUGUCCAAAAUGAAGCUAUUGUGUUAUUUUCCUCUCCUGUUAGCCCCAUCAGACACUUCCUUGAAACCUCCUUUUGGCUUCCUGUCUUUUGCUGCAUUGAAUUGAAGCUCCUCAUUUUAUAGAUUAUACAUAAUCUUGCCCUCCGCUACAUCUCUUCUCUCCCACACUUUUUAACUCCUACAUGUUGUAUGCUCCCACUCAAUCUUUCACACUCAAUGCUUUUCUCGUUCCGCUUAUCUUACUUCUCCCUUCAAUAUACAGCCACAUAGUUCUGAAAGAUGCUCCCUCUUCUUCUACAGUACACAACCUCACAUUCUUCUUUUCCAGGCUGUUCUGUUCUGUUCAGGUUCUUACAUUGUGCCCAUCACUGGUACCAGAGAUCUCUCCUGAAAUCCUUCCUACAUUCCCCAACUCCUUUCUUCCCUCCAGAUAUCUGUCCACACCUUCUUUACUAAAUUAUUUUUUUGUUUCUUGACUUGGCUUUGUUAGUCUUGUUUGUAUUAGAUUAAGCAGUGGAUAUGUUAAACAUAAUAUGAAUGUAUGGCAUUAUGAAUGAUAUUUAAUAGUCAAUUAUUAAGAAUUAAUAAUAACAUAUACCCAAACAGGUCUCAAGUAACUAUCACCAUUGGUCAGAGAAAUAACGUGUACCAAAUCUGCCUGUCUGAGGCUAAGGAUCUGAUCAUACUCUCAUCUAAGGCAAUGGCAAACUCUCAUUGACUUCAGUGGAGCAGGAAGAGGCCUUAGAUAAUUAACUUGUUUUAUCGACUUUUUCCCCCCAUUUGGUUAGAAAAUGAUGUGCUAGUGUAUGUUUCAAUGAAGAUAAAUGUGCAACAUAAAAAAUAGCCAGACCAUUUAAUAUGUAAGGCUUCACUAAACUGAAGCUAUAUAAUCAUAAAAAACAAACAUGAGUAAAGAACAAUGUUAGACUUA